AGUGAACGCUGGCGGUAGGCCUAACACAUGCAAGUCGAACGGCAGCACAGUAAGAGCUUGCUCUUACGGGUGGCGAGUGGCGGACGGGUGAGGAAUACAUCGGAAUCUACUUUUUCGUGGGGGAUAACGUAGGGAAACUUACGCUAAUACCGCAUACGACCUACGGGUGAAAGCAGGGGAUCUUCGGACCUUGCGCGAUUGAAUGAGCUGAUGUCGGAUUAGCUAGUUGGCGGGGUAAAGGCCCACCAAGGCGACGAUCCGUAGCUGGUCUGAGAGGAUGAUCAGCCACACUGGAACUGAGACACGGUCCAGACUCCUACGGGAGGCAGCAGUGGGGAAUAUUGGACAAUGGGCGCAAGCCUGAUCCAGCCAUACCGCGUGGGUGAAGAAGGCCUUCGGGUUGUAAAGCCCUUUUGUUGGGAAAGAAAAGCGGCAGGUUAAUACCCCGCUGUUCUGACGGUACCCAAAGAAUAAGCACCGGCUAACUUCGUG
This 492-nucleotide ribosomal RNA is filed under the name uncultured bacterium. RNAcentral describes it as "partial 16S ribosomal RNA". It matches the Rfam family "Bacterial small subunit ribosomal RNA", at positions 29 to 507 of the family's 1533-position model. The record is from RNAcentral.